Coturnix japonica (Japanese quail) is the source of this 754-nucleotide non-coding RNA. Lineage: Eukaryota; Metazoa; Chordata; Aves; Galliformes; Phasianidae. The record is from RefSeq and is a predicted model, not a curated record.
CACCUGGUGCUCCAGCCUCUCCCCAGGCAUGCAAUGAGUCAAUCCAGUUUGGUAAUGCACAGCCUGUGCCCUUCCCACACCAAACACUCUGACCAUACCCAAAUAAAGGAAACAGCUGAAAACCUUUGCAGGUCAGGAAAUUGUGUGCAUCAUCAUGUCCAGAGGGAGCAGAGAUGAGCCGCGCAGCGGCCUGACCCACUCCAGCAAUGGUCUCCAAGUUUCCAUCUCUGCAUAUGCACAAUAAUUUUUCUCCUGGAUCACAGGGGGCCUGGGUUGAACAUCACCUUUCACCCUCACGCAGACAUCGGAGUCCCCUGUAGAGGCUUGCCUGUGCUCUGAGCUCCUCCGUAGCCCGCCGGCACCACUUUUGCUCUGGGUCAGGCUCAGCCCGUCAGCGCAAGGCACAUGUGCCAUCCCUUCAGCAGUGCUCCACGUGCAAAGUCCUACCAAGUAGGAGCCGUGACCUCUGGGAUCAGGAGGACAUGCACAGCACCUGCGCAUGGCCUGAUUCUUCUGCAGGUCUUCACCAGCAAUGGCAACAAGGCCUCUUGCGAGCAUGGGCCUGAGGAAGAAACACAACCACCAUCAACAAGAUCGCUUCAGCCUUACGCAGCAUGACAAGGGAGCCAAGCAUUUCAGCUCCCUCGGGGCCAUCAGGCGCAGCAUAAAUAGUCGCCUCGUCUCCCAGCCACUCCAUUCCCUGCUGCAGCCUUGCUCUCCUCUGUGAAGCCGAGUCACCUCCGUCCUCCGCCAG